This is a long non-coding RNA of Lycium ferocissimum, 1758 nucleotides long. RefSeq lists it as uncharacterized. Lineage: Eukaryota; Viridiplantae; Streptophyta; Magnoliopsida; Solanales; Solanaceae. The transcript is spliced from 2 exons. The record is from RefSeq and is a predicted model, not a curated record.
UAUGGUCUGAAUUUCAGUAUGUUGUUAGACAAUAUCCCUGUUCUGACAACGUUUAAUUUCACGCAAGAGGUCCGAGUUUUACACUUGACCUGAACCAAGUUAGCUGUCAUAAAUAACCCCAGCAGUAGUUUUUAAAGCUUUGAGAAAACAUAAGAAACUAGUCUGUGGUGCUCAGCAGACCAGAGUAAUAUGGUGUUUGUCAGUUUUACACUUGACUCGAACCAAGUUAGCUGUCAUAAAUAACGCCGGCCGCAGUUUCUAAAGCUUUGAGAAAAUGUAAGAAACCAAUUUAUGGCUCUCAGCAGACGAGCAAAAUUCAUUAGUGAAAAUUGGACACCCAAAGUACUAUUAAUAAAAUUUCAUUAGUAAAGCAUCGAGAAGAUGCAAGGUUACAGAUGGGCAAAAAGCUGCUUCAAACAAAACAUGAAGCAGACUUAGCAAAAACAUGUAGAACAAUCUAAAGAUAUCCCAUCUCUACUGUACUAGAGAAAGGGAGCUAAAAAUCCAAAAAGUUAUCCACACCGUUUACAGGGGCAAAAAAAUUCCAACUGAAAAGACUAACUAAACACCUAGACUUUAAAGUGCAUAUAGGAGUAGAGAUUCCAUCAAAGCAUCUACUGUUUCUCUCCUUCCAUAGGGUCCAAAAAAUUAUUGCUGGGAUCAUUCUCCAGAUUCUUUUGAUGGAUUUGUCAACUCUCCAGAGUAUCCAGUUAGCAUAGGCAUCUUUGAUGUUGAAGGGCAUUACCAUUGGAGACCAAGCAUAGAAUAGAAGAAAUACCAAAGGCUAGCUGCUGCAGGGCAGUGCAAAAAUAGAUGGUUGACACUUUCAUUGGUCUGCUUGCACAUGGCACACAUCUUAACGACGAUUACACCUCUCCUCCUGAGAUUGUCUUGUGUUAGGCAUGCUUCCUUCAAUGCAGUCCAAGUGAAGCAAGUAACUCUGAGAGGCUGUCUGGUUCUCCACACAAGCUUCCAAGGCCAGACCUCUGAAAGGCUAUUUUGAGAACUCCAGUUGUUGUAGCAUUCCUUCACAGUGAAAAUCUUUCCUUAGAAUUGCCCCAGAGGAUUCUGUCCUGAGAUUCUGCCACCAAAGUACUUUGUCCCAAUCUUUCUAAGAGAGAGAAAAUCAUCAACUUCCCAAUCCUGUAAGUUUCUCCUUAAAAUUGGUGUCCAACAGUUGUUAUCUCUAUAUUGAGCUAAUGUUGCUUCUUUGUUAGAAGCUAUCAGAAAUAGUGAAGGAAAUAAGUCUUUUAAUAAAGUGUCCCCAAGCCAUUUGUCCUGCCAAAAUCUGAUCUUGAACCCAUUUCCAGCCUUGAAUGAGACAUUCUGGAAGGAUUCCUCUUGGAGACUACUGAUGUGCUUCCAUACUCCAACACCAUGUGGUUCAUUGCUUCUCUUUGCAGUCCAGUGGUCUUGAAUACCAUACCCUGCCUCAUUUUGACCAUAUCUCCAAAGCCACUUCAUGAGUAGGCUAUUGUUAUGAAGCUUAAGAUUUCUGAUUCCCAGCCCCCCUUGGCCUUUGGGUUGAAUAACUGAUUUCCAUUUGACCAAAGAGAAUUUGUGAGUAACACUGUUACCUUCCCAUAGGAAUUUCCUUCUGAGCCUGUCAAUUUGCUUUAGAACUGAGCUUGGCAUAGGGAAGAGUGACAUACAGUAAGUGGGAAUGCUGUCUAGGACACUGUUGAUGAGGGUGAGCCUACCACCCAAUGAGAGGUAUUGCAUCUGCCAAGUGGCUAGUCUUUUCUCCAUUCUUUCAAU